RNAcentral lists this ribosomal RNA (213 nucleotides) under uncultured bacterium. Its description in RNAcentral is "partial 16S ribosomal RNA". It matches the Rfam family "Bacterial small subunit ribosomal RNA", at positions 1288 to 1500 of the family's 1533-position model. The record is from RNAcentral.
UCAGUUCGGAUUGUAGGCUGAAACUCGCUUACAUGAAGCUGGAGUUACUAGUAAUCGCAGAUCAGAAUGCUGCGGUGAAUGCGUUCCCGGGUCUUGUACACACCGCCCGUCACACCAUGGGAGUCGGAAAUGCCCGAAGUCGGUGACCGAACCGAAAGGAAGGAGCCGCCGAAGGCAGGUCUGGUGACUGGGGUGAAGUCGUAACAAGGUAUC